UCAGCUGGAGUCUGGCUGCUGCUCCACUGUGGAAACAACUUCAGUCAUGAUCUGACUGCGGGCACCAUGGGUGGAGCAGUGGUUAGCAAUGUUACAUCACAGCAAGAAGGUUCUGGGUUCAAGCCUGGCCUGACUCGACCCACUGCCUUUCUGUAUGAAGUCUGCAUGUUCUCCCUGUGCCUCUGUGGGUUUUCUCCAGUGAACAGCAGUGCAUUCAGGUCAUACACCUCAAACACCCUUCAAGUGGCUCAUCCUGAGGUGCAUUAAACAAAUAGGAGGUGCAGUGGGCUUGUUCUGCUACUGCCUGUACAGCAUAUGUCUACUGGAAAAGAAGAAGCAGAAGAAGAAUGGAAAUCAAGAUCUAUUUGCUCUAAUUUGUUUUGAGAAUAUAUUCUUCUUUUAGCCUUUCUGUUUUCUGUUCUGUCCUUAUACCACUUUGUCUAAUGAUUUAUUUUUAUUUAGUUACAAAUCCAGUUCAGUCCCUCUGUGCCUGCCUGAGUGGUAUUAAAAGCUGGCUGUCACAGAAUUUCUUACACAUUAAUGAAGUCAAAAGAGAAUGUGUACUAUUUAAUGGUUCAGGCUGUGCACACACUGAUGACCUUGACCUUGAUGUAAUGACCCCGUAUUUUGCAUAUUGACUAAUGCAAUGCCCUCUAUUUCGAGGUCUCUCCGACUUUAUUGCCUAGGCUUAGUACAAAAUGCUGUUGUUUGUCUUCUUACUCAUAAACAUGAACAUAUA
Molecule: long non-coding RNA, 739 nt
Organism: Monopterus albus (swamp eel)
Lineage: Eukaryota; Metazoa; Chordata; Actinopteri; Synbranchiformes; Synbranchidae
Exons: 3
Source: RefSeq, a predicted model, not a curated record